This 428-nucleotide ribosomal RNA is filed under the name Typhloiulus bureschi. Its description in RNAcentral is "partial 16S ribosomal RNA". It matches the Rfam family "Archaeal large subunit ribosomal RNA", at positions 1921 to 2592 of the family's 2987-position model. The record is from RNAcentral. Lineage: Eukaryota; Metazoa; Arthropoda; Diplopoda; Julida; Julidae.
GGUCUUUUGGAUUUUAAUAGAAGGUUUAGCCUGCUCACUGAGAAUUUUGAAGAGCUGCAGUAUUAUGACUGUACAAAGGUAGCACAAUCACUAGCCCCUUAAUUAGGGGCGGGAAUGAAAGGCAAGACAGAAGAAUACUGUCUCGGGUUUAUUUUCUUUGAAUUUUUCUUUUCUGUUAAAAGACAGAGAUACCAAUAAAAGACAAGAAGACCCUGUUAAAGUUUACUUGGCUAGGCGCGAAAAAUGAUUUAUGUUUGUUGCUGUGGCUGGUCUGGUUUUGCUGGGGCGGCAGAUAUAGCUUCAAUAUAAGGAAAAAUAAGGUGGUUAAAUAGAGUUGUGAGCCGGGAAGGCCGAAUGUAAGAAGAAGUUACUAAAGGGAUAACAGCGUUAUAUUAUUUGAGAGUUCAUAUUGACNAUAGUNUNUGNNA